RNAcentral lists this ribosomal RNA (730 nucleotides) under uncultured bacterium. Its description in RNAcentral is "bacterial SSU rRNA". It matches the Rfam family "Bacterial small subunit ribosomal RNA", at positions 771 to 1501 of the family's 1533-position model. The record is from RNAcentral.
AACAGGAUUAGAUACCCUGGUAGUCCACGCCGUAAACGAUGUCGACUUGGAGGUUGUGCCCUUGAGGCGUGGCUUCCGGAGCUAACGCGUUAAGUCGACCGCCUGGGGAGUACGGCCGCAAGGUUAAAACUCAAAUGAAUUGACGGGGGCCCGCACAAGCGGUGGAGCAUGUGGUUUAAUUCGAUGCAACGCGAAGAACCUUACCUACUCUUGACAUCCAGAGAACUUAGCAGAGAUGCUUCGGUGCCUUCGGGAACUCUGAGACAGGUGCUGCAUGGCUGUCGUCAGCUCGUGUUGUGAAAUGUUGGGUUAAGUCCCGCAACGAGCGCAACCCUUAUCCUUUGUUGCCAGCGGUUAGGCCGGGAACUCAAAGGAGACUGCCAGUGAUAAACUGGAGGAAGGUGGGGAUGACGUCAAGUCAUCAUGGCCCUUACGAGUAGGGCUACACACGUGCUACAAUGGCAUAUACAAAGAGAAGCGACCUCGCGAGAGCAAGCGGACCUCAUAAAGUAUGUCGUAGUCCGGAUUGGAGUCUGCAACUCGUCUCCAUGAAGUCGGAAUCGCUAGUAAUCGUGGAUCAGAAUGCCACGGUGAAUACGUUCCCGGGCCUUGUACACACCGCCCGUCACACCAUGGGAGUGGGUUGCAAAAGAAGUAGGUAGCUUAACCUUCGGGAGGGCGCUUACCACUUUGUGAUUCAUGACUGGGGUGAAGUCGUAACAAGGUAACC